Oncorhynchus tshawytscha (Chinook salmon) is the source of this 1581-nucleotide long non-coding RNA. The record is from Ensembl. NCBI's taxonomy places the organism in Eukaryota, Metazoa, Chordata, Actinopteri, Salmoniformes, Salmonidae.
GCUUUUUUGACUUUUACUCAAAUAGUAUUUUACUGAGUGACUUUCACUUUUACUUGAGUCAAUUUCUAUUAAGGUAACUUUACUUUUACUCAAGAAUGACAAUUCGGUACUUUUUCCACCACUGUAAAAACGUUGAUCAUAAAAAUGUGCAUUACCGUAGUUUCCGGACUAUAAACCGCUACUUUAUUCCCACGCUUUGAACCUCGCGGUUUAUACAAUGACGCGGCUAAUUUAUGGAUUUUUCCCGCUUUCACAAGAUUCAUGCCGCCAAAAAACUGAGCACCGUCACAUAAUGUGACGUAAAUCGAGCGCGCUCAAACUUCCCAUCAUUUUGAUUACGGUAGUCAUUUUGUAACCCUCAUCAUGGCAAAGACACGGAGAAAUGCAUAUGAUGCAGCUGUCAAGUUGAAGGCGAUCGAUCUGGAAGUUGGAAAAGGAAAUAGAGCUGCUGCACGGGAGCUUGGCCUUAAUGAUUCGAUGAUAAGACGUUGGAAACAGCAGCGUGAGGAACUGACUCAGUGCAAAAAGACAACAAAAGCUUUCAGAGGGAAGAAAAGCAGAUGGCCCAAAGUAUUUGCAGCCACUCGACAUCAGUGUAAAUCGUGCAUUUAAGGUGGCGCUCCGUGUUCAGUGGGAGGCUUGGAUGACAAGUGGGGAGAAAUGCUUCACUAAAACGGGCCGCAUGCGAAGAGCAACUUAUGGUCAAGUCUGCCAGUGGGUGCUGACAGCGUGGAGCAUUGUCAAAAAACCCACUAUCAUCAACGGGUUUCGAAAGGCUGGACUGCUGCGUGUUGAAGGGGCAGCAUGAGCUCAGCGGGGUAUUUGCCUCCGGAAAGUGAGGAGAGCGACAAUGAAAACAAUCCAACAUCGGAUGAAGCAAUUCAACUCCGACACCGAAGGAGAUGACUUCAGUGGUUUCAGUGCACAGGAGGAGGAAGAUAGUGACCAAUGACUUUCUUGGGGGCCUGAGGCUCUUGGACUGUGACUGAGGACACCCUGGCCUGACACCUGGAUGUGCCUGACCCACUCCCCACACACCCAGAAACUUGGGUUUCAUUACUUACCAUGUGACUGAGGACACCCUGGCCUGACACCUGGAUGUGCCUGACCCACUCCCCACACACCCAGAAACUUGGGUUUCAUUACUUACCAUGUGACUGAGGACACCCUGGCCUGACACCUGGAUGUGCCUGACCCACUCCCCACACACCCAGAAACUUGGGUUUCAUUACUUACCAUAUGACUUUAUUAAAAGCGAUCUAGCCAUAAGAUCUUGAAGUGUGAGUACUUUCUCUAUGGUCAUUCUGGGUAUUGUCUGAGCCUGCUGGCCACUGAUUCUGGUAUUACCCUUUCCUUAUUGAAAUGGUGGAUAAAGGAAGACUAUGCUUUCAUUUUCAAUUCAAACACAAUGAAGACAUUGUUAGAUUGCUUUUAUACUGCCUAUCUCUCCAUCUCUCUCGCAAAUCAAAUACAGAUUUGUUCAAACUGGAUGUGUGACUUCUUUUCCCAAUGAUUUCCUAAGGCUUAUUCCAUACCAACGCUAGAUGAGGCUGAAUGGACACAACACCACACACAACCACA